This 215-nucleotide long non-coding RNA is filed under the name Nicotiana benthamiana. RNAcentral describes it as "long non-coding RNA (NBEN_LNC001528)". Lineage: Eukaryota; Viridiplantae; Streptophyta; Magnoliopsida; Solanales; Solanaceae. The record is from RNAcentral.
CCACUAGCCUUGAAGUGUUUCUUAUGGUUUUUCCUUCUAAAAAGUUUCCAGCACUGGCACUUUCAGUGCUGCUCCCUAGAAGAACGCGAACUAAAUGCAACAAUUCCUGUUCAUUUCCGGCCAGUAAUUUCAAAGCAGUCUGCAAAUAAGAGAAUAAAAUCGAUCAUUGCUCGUUGAUAUGUAAUUCGACAGUUGUGGUUUAAACUAGAUGCCUU